Long non-coding RNA from Poecilia latipinna (sailfin molly), 438 nucleotides. RefSeq lists it as uncharacterized. NCBI's taxonomy places the organism in Eukaryota, Metazoa, Chordata, Actinopteri, Cyprinodontiformes, Poeciliidae. The record is from RefSeq and is a predicted model, not a curated record. The transcript has 2 exons.
UAUGUUUUGUUCAUACGGUGAGUAAAUGUUACUGUUAUUUUUGCAGGAGGAACCCGAAGGAGGCUGGAAGAAAAAGUCGUGUUACCUUGAAAGCAGUCAGACACAGAACGGCUGGAUCUCCCAGAGGAGACGUCAAAGCAAGCAGACAUCAUGUCCGCGGACGGAAAACUUCAAUGUUUUGACAGAAUAAAGCCCAGAGCAGCAGCACCAGCAGCAGCGUGUUUGUGCGGACAGCAGUGAAGUAAAGCUGCAAUUAUUUGUUUGUUUAUGUGCCGUCUGUUCAGUCCCAAGUAUUUAUUUUAAAAUUCUCUCGUCUCGCGUUCCAGAACAAUAAAACUCCUUAAGACAGUGGUAUGCAGACUAUUUACCAUGGGGGUGAAAAUUGUCAAGUUGAGAACACUUCAUUUUGUUUUAAUUAAAGGUGAGUUUCUUAAGACA